UGCAAGAAAUUGCAAUAAAAUAGUCUGCCUAAGAAAAAUUGAAUUUUUUUGAAAAUUUUUUUUUUUUGAUAAACGACUUAAAGAUCAAAAUAUGUGUCUUCCUCUACUCGGAUCAAACUGUCAAUUUUUUUCUACACUUUUAGGUGUAUUUUGUGCAAGAAAUUGCAAUAAAAUAGUCUGCCUAAGAAAAAUUGAAUUUUUUUGAAAAUUUUUUUUUGACGAUAAACGACUUAAAGGUCAAAAUAUGUGUCUUCCUCUACUCGGAUCGGGCUGUCAAUUUUUUUCUACACUUUUAGGUGUAUUUUGUGCAAGAAAUUGCAAUAAAAUAGUCUGCCUAAGAAAAAUUGAAUUUUUUUGAAAAUUUUUUUUUGACGAUAAACGCUUUAAUGUUGGUAAUAGGUGUCUUCCUCUACUCGGAUCGGGCUGUCAAUUUUUUUCUACACUUUUAGGUGUAUUUUGUGCAUGAAAUUGCAAUAAAAUAGUCUGCCUAAGAAAAAUUUUUUUUUUUGAAAAACGACUUAAAAGUCAAAAUAUGUGUCUUCCUCUACUCGGAUCGGGCUGUCAAUUUUUUUCUACACUUUUAGGUGUAUUUUGUGCAAGAAAUUGCAAUAAAAUAGUCUGCCUAAGAAAAAUUGAAUUUUUUUGAAAAUUUUUUUUUUUGAAAAACGACUUAAAAGUCAAAAUAUGUGUCUUCCUCUACUCGGAUCGGGCUGUCAAUUUUUUUCUACACUUUUAGGUGUAUUUUGUGCAAGAAAUUGCAAUAAAAUAGUCUGCCUAAGAAAAAUUGAAUUUUUUUGAAAAUUUUUUUUUUUGAAAAACGACUUAAAGGUCAAAAUAUAUGUCUUCCUCUACUCGGAUGAGGCUCUCAAUUUUUUUCUACACUUUUAGGUGUAUUUUGUGCAAGAAAUUGCAAUAAAAUAGUCUGCCUAAGAAAAAUUGAAUUUUUUUGAAAAUUUUUUUUUUUGAAAAACGACUUAAAGGUCAAAAUAUGUGUCUUCCUCUACUCGGAUCGGGCUGUCAAUUUUUUUCUACACUUUUAGGUGUAUUUUGUGCAAGAAAUUGCAAUAAAAUAGUCUGCCUAAGAAAAAUUGAAUUUUUUUGAAAAUUUUUUUUUUUUGAAAAACGACUUAAAGGUCAAAAUAUGUGUCUUCCUCUACUCGGAUCGGGCUGUCAAUUUUUUUCUACACUUUUAGGUGUAUUUUGUGCAAGAAAUUGCAAUAAAAUAGUCUGCCUAAGAAAAAUUGAAUUUUUUUGAAAAUUUUUUUUUUUGAAUAACGACUUAAAGGUUAAAAUAUGUGUCUUCCUCUACUCGGAUCAAACUGUCAAUUUUUUUCUACACUUUUAGGUGUAUUUUGUGCAAGAAAUUGCAAUAAAAUAGUCUGCCUAAGAAAAAUUGAAUUUUUUUGAAAAUUUUUUUUUUGAAAAACGACUUAAAGGUCAAAAUAUGUGUCUUCCUCUACUCGGAUCAAACUGUCAAUUUUUUUCUACACUUUUAGGUGUAUUUUGUGCAAGAAAUUGCAAUAAAAUAGUCUGCCUAAGAAAAAUUGAAUUUUUUUGAAAAUUUUUUUUUUUGAAAAACGACUUAAAGGUCAAAAUAUAUGUCUUCCUCUACUCGGAUCAGGCUGUCAAUUUUUUUUUACACUUUAAGGUGUAUUUUGUGCAAGAAAUUGCAAUAAAAUAGUCUGCCUAAGAAAAAUUGAAUUUUUAUGAAAAACGACUUAAAAGUCAAAAUAUGUGUCUUCCUCUACUCGGAUCGGGCUGUCAAUUUUUUUCUACACUUUUAGGUGUAUUUUGUGCAAGAAAUUGCAAUAAAAUAGUCUGCCUAAGAAAAAUUGAAUUUUUUUGAAAAUUUUUUUUUUUGAAAAACGACUUAAAAGUCAAAAUAUGUGUCUUCCUCUACUCGGAUCGGGCUGUCAAUUUUUUUCUACACUUUUAGGUGUAUUUUGUGCAAGAAAUUGCAAUAAAAUAGUCUGCCUAAGAAAAAUUGAAUUUUUUUGAAAAUUUUUUUUUUUGAAAAACGACUUAAAAGUCAAAAUAUGUGUCUUCCUCUACUCGGAUCGGGCUGUCAAUUUUUUUCUACACUUUUAGGUGUAUUUUGUGCAAGAAAUUGCAAUAAAAUAGUCUGCCUAAGAAAAAUUGAAUUUUUUUGAAAAUUUUUUUUUUUGAAAAACGACUUAAAGGUCAAAUCAUGUGUCUUCCUCUACUCGGAUCAGGCUGUCAAUUUUUUUCUACACUUUUAGGUGUAUUU
This is a long non-coding RNA of Leptopilina boulardi, 2248 nucleotides long. RefSeq lists it as uncharacterized. The transcript is spliced from 3 exons. NCBI's taxonomy places the organism in Eukaryota, Metazoa, Arthropoda, Insecta, Hymenoptera, Figitidae. The record is from RefSeq and is a predicted model, not a curated record.